UAAUUUGAGAGUUUGAUCCUGGCUCAGGACGAACGCUGGCGGCGUGCCUAAUACAUGCAAGUCGAACGAACUCUGGUAUUGAUUGGUGCUUGCAUCAUGAUUUACAUUUGAGUGAGUGGCGAACUGGUGAGUAACACGUGGGAAACCUGCCCAGAAGCGGGGAUAACACCUGGAAACAGAUGCUAAUACCGCAUAACAACUUGGACCGCAUGGUCCGAGUUUGAAAGAUGGCUUCGGCUAUCACUUUUGGAUGGUCCCGCGGCGUAUUAGCUAGAUGGUGAGGUAACGGCUCACCAUGGCAAUGAUACGUAGCCGACCUGAGAGGGUAAUCGGCCACAUUGGGACUGAGACACGGCCCAAACUCCUACGGGAGGCAGCAGUAGGGAAUCUUCCACAAUGGACGAAAGUCUGAUGGAGCAACGCCGCGUGAGUGAAGAAGGGUUUCGGCUCGUAAAACUCUGUUGUUAAAGAAGAACAUAUCUGAGAGUAACUGUUCAGGUAUUGACGGUAUUUAACCAGAAAGCCACGGCUAACUACGUGCCAGCAGCCGCGGUAAUACGUAGGUGGCAAGCGUUGUCCGGAUUUAUUGGGCGUAAAGCGAGCGCAGGCGGUUUUAAGUCUGAUGUGAAAGCCUUCGGCUCAACCGAAGAAGUGCAUCGGAAACUGGGAAACUUGAGUGCAGAAGAGGACAGUGGAACUCCAUGUGUAGCGGUGAAAUGCGUAGAUAUAUGGAAGAACACCAGUGGCGAAGGCGGCUGUCUGGUCUGUAACUGACGCUGAGGCUCGAAAGUAUGGGUAGCAAACAGGAUUAGAUACCCUGGUAGUCCAUACCGUAAACGAUGAAUGCUAAGUGUUGGAGGGUUUCCGCCCUUCAGUGCUGCAGCUAACGCAUUAAGCAUUCCGCCUGGGGAGUACGGCCGCAAGGCUGAAACUCAAAGGAAUUGACGGGGGCCGCACAAGCGGUGGAGCAUGUGGUUUAAUUCGAAGCUACGCGAAGAACCUUACCAGGUCUUGACAUACUAUGCAAAUCUAAGAGAUUAGACGUUCCCUUCGGGGACAUGGAUACAGGUGGUGCAUGGUUGUCGUCAGCUCGUGUCGUGAGAUGUUGGGUUAAGUCCCGCAACGAGCGCAACCCUUAUUAUCAGUUGCCAGCAUUAAGUUGGGCACUCUGGUGAGACUGCCGGUGACAAACCGGAGGAAGGUGGGGAUGACGUCAAAUCAUCAUGCCCCUUAUGACCUGGGCUACACACGUGCUACAAUGGAUGGUACAACGAGUUGCGAACUCGCGAGAGUAAGCUAAUCUCUUAAAGCCAUUCUCAGUUCGGAUUGUAGGCUGCAACUCGCCUACAUGAAGUCGGAAUCGCUAGUAAUCGCGGAUCAGCAUGCCGCGGUGAAUACGUUCCCGGGCCUUGUACACACCGCCCGUCACACCAUGAGAGUUUGUAACACCCAAAGUCGGUGGGGUAACCUUUUAGGAACCAGCCGCCUAAGGUGGGACAGAUGAUUAGGGUGAAGUCGUAACAAGGUAGCCGUAGGAGAACCUGCGGCUGGAUCACCUCCUUU
Molecule: ribosomal RNA, 1563 nt
Filed under: Lactiplantibacillus plantarum
Lineage: Bacteria; Bacillati; Bacillota; Bacilli; Lactobacillales; Lactobacillaceae
Description: 16S ribosomal RNA
Rfam family: Bacterial small subunit ribosomal RNA
Source: RNAcentral